This 3406-nucleotide long non-coding RNA is filed under the name Haliotis rubra (blacklip abalone). RNAcentral describes it as "uncharacterized LOC124280021". The record is from RNAcentral. Lineage: Eukaryota; Metazoa; Mollusca; Gastropoda; Lepetellida; Haliotidae.
GACGCUCUAACCACUACACCACGGAGGCGGUCCAAUUAUUAACAGACUGCCGUCAUAUAGCUGGAAUAUUGCUGAGUAUGGUGUAAAACUAAACUCACUCUCUCACUGACUGGUAUUUGGAAUUUUAUAAUGUCCCAUAAAUUUCAGGAUAAAAGGUGAACAACAGCACCUCUAGGAACUAUGGCUUCUCCUGCAUUAGAAUUAAGUGUGUGUCACAUGUACAUGGGAGUGUCUAGCUGAUAUGUAAUGUGCAAUUUGUUUAUAUUUAACCUAAAGGUACCAUUAAAAAUAUUUUGAAACCAUAUUAUCUGAGAUCGUGAAUUACAUGAGAUUGCUUACAUAGUUGUAUCAUUAUCUGGAUCUUCCAGCGCAUUUUCUGUGUAUAUAUGCUGGAGAAUGUUCCUUAAGGCAUACAGUUAAAAAACACAGGUGUUCAACUUUAACUCUAACUUUUCCUUGGUUGUUUAUCUGUAAAUUUGUGCUCUUUGGCCAUUGCGGUAUUGAGAACUAAACAAUUUAUGUUUUGUAAAUACAUGUAUUUUCUUGACUGUCAUACACAACAGCUGUGUUAUAUGCAGUGUAAUAACAUCAUCCUGCUGUACCUGUUCAGUUCUGUACGUUCAUGUUCACAGAUUGUCUGUAUCCAUGCCUCACACGUUCACAAGGUACCUGUCAUCUGUGAAACUAGGGAACUUUCUUUAUCUCUCUCACAAUGUUAUCAUCAUUUUGCUGUAUGUAAAUGUAUGUUAUUAUCAUUCUUAAUAAUGUUAUUGUAUAUUGUUUCUCUGAAGGUCACUUUCUGAUGAUAGACCAGAUUUGGAAUACCACAAAAUUUUGUGAUCAUGAGGCAAAAGUGUUACGACAUUAUCUGUCAUGAUACAUACUUACUUGAUUAAGGGAGAAAAGUUGAACAUGAAUGUUAUUUCUUGUAGUGUGAAAAUCUUCUACCAUAGACUUUUACUUUAGGUCUUGUCCAAUGUCACAAAUUCUAUAUUUUCACAGAAGGGUAUUUUAUUAAUCCUCUUAAAAUUCUGAGACUGAACUUUUUGAUUUUGAUUAUGGACCAUCUGACAUCAUUUCAUAAUUCUUGUAUGACAUUUCUAUGUUCAAAUCUGGAAUAUGAAAUUUAUGUAAAAGUGGGCCUGUGGCAUUGCAAAGAAUUUUUUUUUAAAUGAUAUAAUUGGGGAAGAGUUUGAUCUAAAACUUAUUGCGUUUUGCAAACUCAAGUUUGUUAGCCCCAUUCCAGUGUUCAUGUAUUGCACCAAAGUUGUUAUGUCCUGGACUUGCAUCUGGUUUUCCUCCAAAAUCACACGGUCAGAAUGUGAUAUAACUGUUAUGCUGGUCAAAGUGGUGUUAAAUCCAAUUCACUUAUAUACUCAUAGGUUAUGAGACUUGGGACACAGUUGCCAUGUUGCGGAAACCAAGCAUUCUAUAUUUAAAUUGUGGUUCAAUAUGAUUAUGACUCUAGGUCCUGUCAACUCCAUAAUCAUGCUCGCUGGUUUCACCGAAGCAAAAACGCCUCAAUCACUUCAACCUCCCACGUCAAGCUGACAAUCCAAAAUACAACAAGAACACUGGUCAAAGAGGUGCUAAAUGAGCAAUCCAUCCUUUGAGACCAGCAGUAUGAAGAUCUGAGACAAUCAUUAUGAAUGGAUUGUAUAUAGUCUGAAAUUGUAUAGAGUUUAUGACUUCAUGACAUGUAUACUAUAAUCUGUCACAAUUUGACCUGUCCACAACCAUUGGCAGUUGAUAUCAUCACUAAAUUCCUGAUUUUGUACACUCCAAAGAAAUUGAAGAACACCUUAGGUUUUACAUGCAACAUAUUUAUCUGCCAUGGCAUGUCAUACUGCUUCCAUAAAACUGAUGUGUUCAAAUCUCAUUGCUAUGAAUAUGUGAAAGUGUAAUAUUUCAUAUGUAAACAUGCAUUGGAUGUUUCAUGAGACCGGCAAGAUUCCAGCUGAAAUAACACUGCAUCACAUGACUGUUGUCAAACUAUGGUCACACUCUGUGUUAAGAUACUGAUACGGCUGAGAAUUGUUCGCCAAGGUCUCUGAGAAACAGUUUUGUUUGGUUAUGGACAUUUGAAAAUCUCUGUGUUGUUUUUAGAUUUUUAAAAAACAUUUCUGGUUUAGCACAUUUGAUGGUUGUAUGUUUUAUUCCUGGAUCGGGUUAUGUUGUGAUCUGUCAGUGGAUUACAGGAAAAUUACCUAAAGUGAUACUCUCAAGAUUAUGAUAAGUAACGUGAUAUUAAUCUCGUAGAGAAUCUGUGAUAGUAAAUUGCAAAUAGAUGAUAAUGUCUACUGCUUUAAUGUGUUUUGCACAUGGUAAAUAUUAAUACGCAAACAAAUGCUGCUGUUGACUUACCUGUGUGGUGGCAACCCAGGGUGAGCCGUUAUUGUGUUAGAAUGUUCAGGCAGACAAGUUAUUAGAAUGUUAAAACAGAGAGGCUGUUGGAAUGUUCAAAUAACAGGUUGUUAGAAUGUUCAGACUGUGUUAGAAUAUUAGUCAAGGUGUUAAAAUAUUCCGAUAAACAAGAGACUGUUGCCAGCUGUCAGAAUGUUCAGAAAAGCCAACCAUUAGAACGUUCAGACAGCAAGGCUGUUAGAAUGUUCAGAUAGAUCAGCUGUAAGAACGUUCAGAUAGGCAGGCUGUUAGAAUGUUCAGAAUGGCAGGCUGUUAGAAUGUUCUGAUAGCCAGACAUUUAGAAUGUUCAGACAGCAAAGCUGUUAGAAUGUUCAGAUACAUCAGCUGUCAGAAUGUUCAGAAAAGCAGGCUGUUAGAAUGUUCUGAUAGCCAGACAUUUAGAAUGUUCAGAAAGGCAGGCUGUUAGAAUGUUCAGAUAGGCAGACAUUUAGAAUGUUCAGAAAGGCAAGCUGUUAGAAUGUUCUGAUAAGGCAGCUGUGAUAUGUAGAUCAUUGAAAUGCUCAGACUGGCAGGUUUUUAAAAUGUUCAGAUAAGGCAGCUGUGCGAAUGUUCAGACAGAUAGGCUGUGGAAAUGAUCAGAUAUGCAGGCUACUGGAAUGAUCUGAUAGGCAGGCUGACAGAACAUUUAGAUAGGCAUACUUAGAGAACUUCAUAUGUGCAGAAUCUGUUCACAGAAACUGUUCUCGAUGGUCACACUGAGAAACAACUAUGUUAGAAUGUUCAAAUAUUCUGGCUUCAAGUUGGCACAUCGUGGUUCCAGAUGGUCACACUGAGCGACAACUGUCAGAAUGAUCAGAUAUGCUAGCUAUUAUAUAACACAUUCUCUCCACAUUGAUAUUUAUACUAUAAGCAUUAUUUGGGAUAUCUAUGCUAAACUUGUUUUAUGAUUUCUCAGAUCACAGUGCAAUAAUUCAGUUCAACCAAGUUUUGUAUCUAGUCUUUCCUAAAUGAAGACAAUGAAAUAAAGUGUAUAUUCUGAUAA